This is a long non-coding RNA of Homo sapiens (human), 800 nucleotides long. The record is from Ensembl. NCBI's taxonomy places the organism in Eukaryota, Metazoa, Chordata, Mammalia, Primates, Hominidae.
GGUGUGGAGGAGUGCUUAGGAGCCCAGCGAGGGUGCCUACAAGAGGAGUCAAAGGGCAAAGGAUGAAAAAAUUGAGGCUCAAAGAAGUCCACCAAAUUGAGAGUGAAGUAGGGGAAACAGCAUUUAACGCUUACAUUCUAAUGAUUUGUGUAAGAGCAGCAGGACAAGCUAUACAAAGAAAAAGGUGGAAUUAUCAGGAUGGAAUUAAAGAUGCUUCCAAACAGAGGGGAUAUCUCAAGCCAUGACUCAGAGGUAAGAGUAAGAGACUAUGAUGUGCACAGGAGCUGUUUAAAAAGUUCACUCACCUCUACUCAUUCAUAGAGACACAUUUCAAAUACCACCUCCUAUCAGAAGCCCCCAUAAAUUAUCACCAUAACAUUCUCUCCAUUCCUCCUUGAGGGAGGUAAAAUGUAACAAUUAUCAGAUAAAAAGAUCUUUAGGAACCUAAAACUCAAAAGAUAGUUCAUUUUAGGAAUGAAAAUGGGUCUGCAGCCUGUGUGAACCCAUAAAUCAUGGUAUUAUAGGACCAGUGCUCUUCCUGCCAACAUUUUCCCUAACUGCCAGCUUGUGGGUGCCAAGCACUCUCUUGCAUUAUAGGAUUUAACACAGGACCUGACUUAAUAUAGCAAUGUUUUCUUAUCAUGUCUCAUCAUUUCUUCUUUCUUCUGGAUACACCAACGUUUUGUCCUCCUUUUUUUUUUUUCUGUUGUAAAUGGGAAAAAGCUUGAAAAAGACUCGAUGGCUAUCAUUUCAAUACAUAGAAUAAAUAGUUCCAUUCAAUUUAUUUCAAUUGAAUAGAC